Apis florea (little honeybee) is the source of this 232-nucleotide long non-coding RNA. Lineage: Eukaryota; Metazoa; Arthropoda; Insecta; Hymenoptera; Apidae. The record is from RefSeq and is a predicted model, not a curated record.
UCUUUAUCUUUCAUACAAUCUCGUCGUCCAUCUUUGUUUGAGUCACGGCUAACGUCAGGUCAGUAUCGGUAGAGCAUUUCACUGAAUGUUCAGUGUUCUACUGACUACGUGUUGGAGUGGACGUUUUCGCGUGUAAUCAGUGAUAUUUUUGUGAAAAUGUUUUCCACUUCUACACUAAGUGUCAUAUUAGGGACAAUUUUACUUAUCUCUUCGAUUCCCGAUGCAGCUUCUU